GACGAACGCUGGCGGCGUGCUUAACACAUGCAAGUCGAACGGAAAGGCCCUGCUUUUUUGUGGUGCUCGAGUGGCGAACGGGUGAGUAACACGUGAGUAACCUGCCCUUGACUUUGUGAUAACUUCAGGAAACUGGGGCUAAUACCGGAUAGGAGCUCCUGCUGCAUGGUGGUGGUUGGAAAGUUUCGGCGGUUGGGGAUGGACUCGCGGGUUAUCAGCUUGUUGGUGGGGUAGUGGCUUACCAAGGCUUUGACGGGUAGCCGGCAUGAGAGGGUGACCGGGGACCUUGGGACUGAGAGACGGCGCAGACUCCAACGGGAGGCAGCAGUGGGGAAUAUUGCACAAUGGGCGGAAGCCUGAUGCAGCAACGCUGCGUGCGGGAUGACGGCCUUCGGGUUGUAAACCGCUUUAGCCUGUGACGAAGCGUGAGUGACGGUAAUGGGUAAAGAAGCACCGGCUAACUACGUG
This 468-nucleotide ribosomal RNA is filed under the name uncultured bacterium. Its description in RNAcentral is "partial 16S ribosomal RNA". It matches the Rfam family "Bacterial small subunit ribosomal RNA", at positions 28 to 507 of the family's 1533-position model. The record is from RNAcentral.